Molecule: long non-coding RNA, 5628 nt
Organism: Patella vulgata (common limpet)
Lineage: Eukaryota; Metazoa; Mollusca; Gastropoda; Patellidae
Exons: 5
Source: RefSeq, a predicted model, not a curated record
CUAAGCUCAUUAAAAAAAAGUGGGCCUAAGCCUAUAAACAAAAAAGAAAAAAGAGAAAGAAAGGAGAGGGGGGAGAAAAGAAAGAAAGAAGGAGCGGGCAGGACACAGGACUGGAGAAAGAAAAGAUAGGAAAAAAAUGACUGACAAACAACACAAAAAAAGAAGUGUACUAGAAUUCUCAAAUUCAUCUAAUGAUAGUGCUCUUAGGUCAUUCUGUUAUCUAAUUGUACCAGGAAAUCAAAAAUUUGCCUUCUUCUGCUUUGGUCUGAAAUGCUUGGAAAAUGGGUUUUCGGUUGACAAUUUUCAAACCUUUUCUGGGAGAAGAAGCCACCCAGACCCCCCUCGGACGUUUUCGCGCCUUUGGCACGCUCGUGACGCGCCGUCGGUGCGUACUUGUGUGGGUCUUGGUCAAUGACCUGACAGAGUCCAGCACUGCAUGUAGUUAAGACCAUGCCUUCCACUUUGGAAUGGUGAAUGACUCAUGUCUUAUGUGCCUUACUACUGGAAUGACCCCUGUUAGCCCUGUACUGAAGUCAAAGGGCAUUCCCGAACUUAGGGUACUUCCACUGAACUCAGUGGCAUGUCUGGAAUUUUAUGCUUAUUCUGAUAGGCGACGGCCAAGGUUUGGAUAUCUUGAGAAUUUUCACUUGGUUUCCGGCUCUGGGUACACCAUAUAUUAAACCUUUCGAUAGUUGGAGAUUUCUGCAAUGGUUUUGUGUAAUAUCAUUAAGAAUCGAAUGAUUUUUCAAUGAUCAAUAAAGGAUGGGCAGGGAUGGAUUUAAUUUAUUCUCUAUGACAUGAAUGAUACAUUAAACCAUGUAAAAUAGACAUGCGCAUUCUUUUCUUUGUUUUGUAAUCAAUCGAAUACCCACCAGAAAUAUUAGCCAAUCACAGUGCAGGCUUGUAUAGCGAACACAUAGGUAGCUGAUUCUUUACAGGUGAUCUGAAUUAUGGAACGCCAAACUAACAUAAAAUCAAUUCACUGCCAAUGGGUCCCGUCAAUUAAAUGAAUAUUUGUAAAUUUGUCGUUCCAUACAGCUAGAGACGCCGAUUCGAACAACCCAGUCGCCUGGUAACCGUGGUGAGUACUUUUCAGAUACAAACUUAAGAAAGCAAACAUCCCCCAACCGUCCUUCAAUUUGAAAUUGAGCGGCCAAGUGAAAGCAUCUAUUCACAUUAGCCAAAUAUAGGAUACGUCUCUCAUCUCAAACAGGUUAGUAAACUUUUAAUUUUCAUUUUAAAAUUUUAUUCAGAUAGGCUGGUAUAUUAACAAGUCCAUAGAACAGUAGAACUUUAAACCCCCAUUUAAACAGUCGAUCAAUAUUUGUACGUGACAGAAGUAGGGUAUGUCGAACCGAGUGGGUUUUCUCUUAGUCAUUCGGUUUCUUUCCAUUGGUAAAGACACGUACGUUCAGAUAGGCUGGUAUAUUAUUAACAAGUCGACAGAACAGUAGGACUUUAAACCCUCCAUUUAAACAGUCGAUUAAUAUUUUUACGUGACAGGAGUAGGGUAUGUCCUUCGUUUUUUUCCAUUGCUAAAGACACCUACGUACAAUAUACCACAUGUUAGUCCCGAAAUUACCUAGUUCGUGUUGAGUAGACGUUAAAAUAGUGUCGUGUUUUAUUUGCAUUAAACUGGACCUACAAAAUGGCGCAAAAUUCUUCAUUGUAUUACCAAUAGCAUAUGCGCAGUAUGUUAGUCUCAUAAUUGUCUCUGGGUUUUUUUUAUCAAGCAACAGUUUCUCAAUGUAGAAUUUGAAUACCCGGAAAGGAAUAGUGUGAGACGGCCUAGGUUUACAAACUAUAUGCAUUGUUCAUUAUUAAAGGGGAAGUGUCAGCGUUCACCAGGUAUACAAAUCAAGGGACAAAAUGUGAAGAAUUUUCUGAUUUAUAGCCCACCUCACAUGAAUAAUGAAAGUUUGUAUUUCUUUGGCAUAGCAUCAUAAAAUUUUAGAUUGUCGAAUAGGCCAAGGUUAGAGUCUUUCACGCAGAGUUAACCAGUUUAUUUACUUUCAUAUUUCUAUUACAUAUUACAGACAUAUCUCCUGUUAUCGGUCGGACGAUGGCGGCGUGGUAGUUCUUCUUUGGAUUGCACUAAAGGAGACAAGAAGUUUAUGGUAUCAUAGAGAGGUCCACACACGUUAUUAUUUAUCUUAUACUGGGUCUGUCUUUAUAUUCUGGCUGGUUGAUGUGUAUAAGCUUGGCUUGUGCACCAGAUUCCUUUGUAAAUAUCAUGUGAAGUUUUCCAUGAUGUAUUAAUAGGUUUUUUUUGGUUGAAAGUUGUAGACAUGGGGAGUAAUUAAAUUGGGAUAUAUUAAUAUGGCAUCAAUCAACUAAUCCCACAUCUCCUUUAGGCAACUAAUAUUUUCUUUUUGGGGUUCUUCUUUUGUUUGUUUUUUUUUGCAUGUUUUUCACUGCAUUUGCUUAAGUAAGGGGUGCUAUAUUUAAUAUAUUCUGAUAUUUGGUUUAUCUUAGAUUUUUAAUGCCCUUAAUGUAUAUUGCAAAUUUCUCAUGAGAGUCCAGUAAAGAUAAUCUUGUAUAACGUGUUUCUAUGAUAAACUUAGAUGUAUUGUUGAUAGUGGGGUCUAGAGAGUUUACGGAUACAGGAUCGUGGGGAUAUGUUUGUAAGGGACGUAUGAAGACGGUGAUAGUUGUGGAUGAGCAGGACACACAGCAUAUUAUACAUGGAGGUAUUAUUGUACAGAUAAUUGUUAUGCAAUUGAUGAGGACCACAACAAUGUUAAGACGCCGAAUGAUCAAUAUGACGAUUACCACUGGUAUAGGAGAACAGACAGGCUGUGAUUUGGAUGGAUGUCAAGCGGCAGUUUAUGGUACCGGGAACUCGACUGGGAAAUGGAAGUUGCAUAGGGAAAUUCUAGAUUGGCAAUAACAGGUUUAUGUUUUUUCUGUAUGUAUUGUAUAUAUUUUCUAAAUUUUCAUGGGUCCGUCUGAUAGGUACAGUAAAGGACAUUCUGUUGACUAGUUUGAAACACAUCUUAAAAUGGGGACCCCUUGGAAACACUGACUUUUAGUUAGGCUUGAGGUGUAAAACUACUUAAGGGACCGAGUCUAUUUGUUAUGUCUAGGGUAACAUGUCAUAACUUCAACAACAACGAUCACACCGAAGAUGUUUACCUCUAUCGGGAGAAAACACACCGACGACCAGAUGGGACGGACAGUUUCUUCAUACAUACAGAAAAUAAACACCAUAACUUCAUCAACAAAGAUCACACCGAAUAUGUUUAUCUCUAUCGGGAGAAAACACCGACGGUCAGAUGGGACGGACAGUUUCUUCAUACAUACACAAAAUAAACACCAUAACUUCAACAACAAAGAUCACACCGAAUAUGUUUAUCUCUAUCGGGAGAAAACACCGACGGUCAGAUGGGACGGACAGUUUCUUCAUACAUACACAAAAUAAACACCAUAACUUCAACAAAGAUCACACCGAAUAUGUUUGUCUCUAUCGAGAGAAAACACACCGACGGUCAGAUGGGACGAACAGUUUCUUCUAUAUCCCGAAAACACAACAUAAACAGAUACUUCACUAGUCUACAGACACAACAUAAGUUUCUUCACUAGUCUACAGACACUACAGACACAAAAGUUUCUUCACUAUUCUACAUACACAAAGAUUCGGGGUUCCUUGCAGCCAGGUGGCGAGACCUGUGCUUGAGGUUAUUGUCUGGAGAUUAGAAAUGGUGGUAAUGGUUGUAGGCUGCAGACGUACCAUUACUUCUUAGAACAUGUACACAACUACAUUCAGUCCAAUUUAGGACUUCCGUUCUUUUCGAAUUGUGAUCACCACACAAUUAUAAGACAGACCAUAACGCAAGGGUUAUGACAUUGUUAAUCUUAACACGAUUCUGGAUGAAAUAUAUUACAAACUUCUGUCUCCUACGAAGUUUUCCGUUUUCCGUCGAUUCUGGUGUGCACACCCCAUUCAUUGGCCUUCGACGGGGGCAGUUAUCUUUGAAGACUUGAAAUUGGCCACCCAGUUAUCUCUAAUAGUUAGUUUACUGUUAUAUCUUAUAGCUAUAUAGGCAGUUCGCUUAGUUUCUCUAGAACAUUACAUUUGGGCUUGUUUCAUCAUGUAGAGUUUAAACCGAUAUCUUCACUAAAAGUCUAUCAAAUCACUUCUCUAUGUAAAGGUGUGUCCAAGACUGGUUAGCAGGUGUUCCUUUACUGUAACAUUUUGAUUCACAAAUUGAUGGGGUUCGUUUGCAAUUUGGAUUUAACUAUUGUUAUAUAUCACCAACGGUCAUCAAUUUAUCUAAAUAAGCUUGUUAUUGCCAUCAAUUUAUCUAAAUAAGCUUGUUAUUUCCAUCAAUUUAUCUAAAUAAGCUUGUUAUUGCCAAACUAGUAUUUUUCUAAUGAAGUCGUCUACAGAUGUCUACUGUUAUUAUUGUUUAUUUAUAUUAUAUUCAUGAUUAUGUUUAUUUACAAUGUAAGGUCAGUAGUGAGUAAACACUUCCAGUUGAUCAGAGCACUUGGGAAAAUCCUACCUCCCCCUUCCUAAAUGGGAGUUAGGGUUGGGUAGCCGGCUCGCAAUACUGACCAUUGAUGUUAGAAACGCUUACAAAGAUCAGAAUAUUUAGUUUUGGGUAACAUUAUACUUUAUAAGUACAUAUGAGGUCAACAUUCAAAAUUUUUCAUUGUCUAUAAUGUGUAUUGUGUUUGUCGUUGGUAACUCAAUCCGCCAUUUUAAAUAACCAUUUCAAAAAUACAAUUUUUGUCGAGGGGUGGAGAGGUUACUUUUCCAUAUUUUAAAUCAAAUAUCUUAUGAUACUAACUUUUUAUACAUUUUGGAAACAUUAUUUAAUUUUUAUGCUCCCAUAUUUUCAGGCCAAAGGUUAAAAUUCUAUUUUUCACUUUCUAAACUUGGAACAUAAAACUUGAUGGGUUUUUAAAUGAGGUCAAAUAACGAUUAUUUCAAACUUGGACACACCAAUAUGAUUUUGUGUUUGGGAGGGAGGGGAGGAAAGGGAUGUUAUGUCAGACCCAUAAGAUGUUUUAAUUUAUAUUUAUAUUUCACUGAUAUUACUCUUGGGACAAUAUCAUCGACAUAUGAUUUUUCUUUAUUAUCAUAAUGAUUAUCUUAUGUUAAAUUAAUACACAUUAUAAAGGUUGUUAUUUUGUACCCCCAUAUUAAACAUUAUUUAUGCCUGUAGAUCUGUGAUGCUACAUGUCAAACUUCUAAAUUUUCCAUUUUUUUAAACUUGGAACAAACCUUUAUGGGAAUUUGAACGGGGUAAAAAUAUUUCGAAAGUUUCGGCAUACCAAAAUGAUGUGAGGGUGGUGGGUGGAUCGUGACCGCCAGAUCGUCAUGCUAUAGGUCAACAUUCUAAAUUUUCUUUUUUUUCCUAAACUUGGAACAUAAACCUUUAUGGGAAUUAGAACGGGUCAAAAUUAUUUCGAAAUUUUCGACAUACCAACAUGUAGUAGUGGGUGCGGGGUGGUUAUGUUUUUAGGAGCAACCGCAUUUCAUAGCUUUUAAAAUAUUGUUUAAUAUGGACCAAUUGAUAAUUUAUCAGUUAAAAGAGAUUAUAUUAUUGUAUUGUUUGUUAAUUAAUUAAAUACUGAUAGAUGUAGUUAAAAAUCAUUUACAAAUAAAAUAUUUCACCAUCA